GACGAACGCUGGCGGCGUGCUUAACACAUGCAAGUCGAACGGUGAAGCGCUUGCCUUUUUGGUGGGUGUGGAUGAGUUGCGAACGGGUGAGUAACACGUGAGUAACCUGCCCUCUUCUUCUGGAUAACCUCAUGAAAGUGACGCUAAUACGGGGUAUUCCGUGCCUGUCGCAUGGCGGGUUUGUGAAAGAUUGCGCCUUUGGGUGUGUUCGGUGGGGGUUGGGCUCGGGGCCUAUUAGCUUGUGGGUGGGGUGAUGGCCUAGCAAGGCGGUGACGGGUAGCCGGACUGGGAGAGUGGACGGACACACAGGGAGUGAGGCACGGCACUGACUCGGGCGGGAGGCAGCGGUGAUGAAGAUUGAAGAGUGGGAGCAAGCCUGAUGCAGCGAGGCCGCGUGAGGGAUGGCGGCCGUCGGGUUGUGAAUCUCUUUCGGAAGUGAAGCAGGCCUGCUACUGUGUGGGUGGGUUGACGGUAGCUGGAUAAGAAGCGCCGGCUAACUACGUG
RNAcentral lists this ribosomal RNA (504 nucleotides) under uncultured bacterium. Its description in RNAcentral is "partial 16S ribosomal RNA". It matches the Rfam family "Bacterial small subunit ribosomal RNA", at positions 28 to 507 of the family's 1533-position model. The record is from RNAcentral.